Plodia interpunctella (Indianmeal moth) is the source of this 1001-nucleotide long non-coding RNA. RefSeq lists it as uncharacterized. The record is from RefSeq and is a predicted model, not a curated record. Lineage: Eukaryota; Metazoa; Arthropoda; Insecta; Lepidoptera; Pyralidae. The transcript has 2 exons.
CGUCGACGUUGGCAAUCACGUGUUUUUUUUCAACUUGCAAAACUAAAAACCUUUUCGUCGUGUAGAAAUAAUCAGUAUUUUUAUACAUUAUAACUUCACAUAAAAUAUAUGAAAUUGCGAUAAAAUUAACAACCAAUAUGUGGCAAAACGUUAUUGCACUUGAAACAUACAGAUUUCUUGUUUCACAACUUUGAAAGAGCACUUGAACAAAAACUGAAUUAGAAUUUCACGUCAUCUAUAUGUGGACAUCAUUUAGUUUUCUGUUUUCAGAACAAAUUUAUGUCAUAUCUUGGGAUAAAUAAGAAAAUAUUAAGCUUUAUUUGUGCUUGGAGCAUUAUGUUUCUAAACGAGCCGCUUUUUGUUUUCGUCGCUUUCAUUGGAAUCACAUGGUAUCCCGGCGCCAGCGACGUCCAAGCCAACAUGGCUCCGGCAGGUUACCCCCAAGCCGCCUCAUACGGUGCUGCACAGCAGAUGGUCGCCCCGCAAGCGCAGCAAGGUUACAACCAGUACAUGCAACCUGAUCCUUACAACCAAUAUUCCCAAGCACACGCUCAGGCACAAGCCCAUCCUGCUUACGGUGGAUAUAACAUGCAGCAGCCAUCGUAUGGUCAUCAAUAUAUGCAGCAAUGGCCCCAGCCUCAGUCUUACCCCAAUCCAUACAUGAGUAAUUUAGGACAAUUGGGGAGCCAAGUUAUGCCCCAAAUGCAACAAGCAGGGUAUCCGGGCUUCAACUCUUUAAUGCAACAAGGCGCAGGGUUCAUGCAACCGGGUGGAACUUUCGGGAACCUUGCAAAUCUUUUUGCAGAUUUAGGAAAACCUCAGGCCAACAGAUCGCAAAUGAGCGUCAUUAAUAUGGGGCAAAAACCGAAUAAAAGAAAUUAAUCGUAUUAAAAAAUGAAAGUGAUCGCUGAAAGAGAUAGGAAAUUUUAAUGUUAAAUGUUUUUAUAGACAUUUGUGUAUAUAAUAAAAUAGUUAUAUAAUAUAAAUUAUUUGUAAUGUCA